This 1458-nucleotide ribosomal RNA is filed under the name uncultured Acidobacteriaceae bacterium. RNAcentral describes it as "bacterial SSU rRNA". It matches the Rfam family "Bacterial small subunit ribosomal RNA". The record is from RNAcentral. Lineage: Bacteria; Pseudomonadati; Acidobacteriota; Terriglobia; Terriglobales; Acidobacteriaceae.
GCCUAACACAUGCAAGUCGCACGAGAAAGGGACUUCGGUCCUGAGUAAAGUGGCGCACGGGUGAGUAACACGUGACUAAUCUACCUCCGAGUGGGGAAUAACUGAGGGAAACCUUAGCUAAUACCGCAUAACACUUACGAGUCAAAGCAGCAAUGCGCUUGGAGAGGAGGUCGCGGCAGAUUAGCUAGUUGGCGGGGUAAUGGCCCACCAAGGCGAUGAUCUGUAUCCGGCCUGAGAGGGCGCACGGACACACUGGAACUGAAACACGGUCCAGACUCCUACGGAAGGCAGCAGUGGGGAAUUUUGCGCAAUGGGGGAAACCCUGACGCAGCAACGCCGCGUGGAGGAUGAAGUCUCUUGGGACGUAAACUCCUUUCGAUCGGGACGAUAAUGACGGUACCGAUAGAAGAAGCCCCGGCUAACUUCGUGCCAGCAGCCGCGGUAAUACGAGGGGGGCAAGCGUUGUUCGGAAUUAUUGGGCGUAAAGGGCGCGUAGGCGGUUUGGCAAGUUUGGUGUGAAAUCUUCGGGCUCAACUCGAAGUCUGCACCGAAAACUGCCGGGCUUGAGUAUGGGAGAGGUGAGUGGAAUUUCCGGUGUAGCGGUGAAAUGCGUAGAUAUCGGAAGGAACACCUGUGGCGAAAGCGGCUCACUGGACCAUUACUGACGCUGAGGCGCGAAAGCUAGGGGAGCAAACAGGAUUAGAUACCCUGGUAGUCCUAGCCCUAAACGAUGAUUGCUUGAUGUGGCAGGACCCAAUCCUGCCGUGUCGAAGCUAACGCGAUAAGCAAUCCGCCUGGGGAGUACAGUCGCAAGGCUGAAACUCAAAGGAAUUGACGGGGGCCCGCACAAGCGGUGGAGCAUGUGGUUCAAUUCGACGCAACGCGAAGAACCUUACCUGGGCUCGAACGGCUUCCCAGCGUCGGUAGAAAUAUCGAUACCCCGCAAGGGGGUGGAGUCGAGGUGCUGCAUGGCUGUCGUCAGCUCGUGUCGUGAGAUGUUGGGUUAAGUCCCGCAACGAGCGCAACCCUUGUCCUGUGUUGCCAUGAUCGCAAGAUCGGAACUCGCAGGAGGCCGCCAGGGAUAACCUGGAGGAAGGUGGGGAUGACGUCAAGUCCUCAUGGCCUUUAUGUCCAGGGCUACACACGUGCUACAAUGGACGGUACAAAGCGUCGCUAACCUGCGAAGGGGAGCCAAUCGCAAAAAACCGUUCUCAGUUCGGAUUGCAGGCUGCAACUCGCCUGCAUGAAGCUGGAAUCGCUAGUAAUGGCAGAUCAGCAUGCUGCCGUGAAUACGUUCCCGGGCCUUGUACACACCGCCCGUCACAUCACGAAAGUGGAUUGUACUAGAAGUCUGCAGGCUGACCCGCAAGGGGGGCAGCGGCCCAAGGUAUGAUCCAUGAUUGGGGUGAAGUCGUAACAAGGUAGCCGUAGGAGAACCUGCGGCUGGAUCACCUCCUU